GUAUAGUGUUACCAUCAGCAACACGCCCUGAUUUCAUUUCCUGGUCAAUAGCCAUUUAUAUGGAUCCUAGAUUCUGGAAAUCAAAUGACUUUGAAGUGGUCCUUGUCCUUUCCCACAUUCCCAUUCUGAAUAUAGCUAUGAAGACUCUGAAAGUAUUGCAACCAACAAGUAAAUUAAUCAAUU
Felis catus (domestic cat) is the source of this 183-nucleotide non-coding RNA. It matches the Rfam family "Beta-globin co-transcriptional cleavage ribozyme". Rfam says of the family: Transcription termination of RNA polymerase II transcripts is proposed to occur by a two stage process. The first stage involves pre-termination cleavage (PTC) of the nascent transcript downstream of the poly(A) site. Lineage: Eukaryota; Metazoa; Chordata; Mammalia; Carnivora; Felidae. The record is from Rfam.